Molecule: ribosomal RNA, 781 nt
Filed under: Kryptonesticus eremita
Lineage: Eukaryota; Metazoa; Arthropoda; Arachnida; Araneae; Nesticidae
Description: SSU rRNA
Rfam family: Eukaryotic small subunit ribosomal RNA
Source: RNAcentral
GAGGUUCGAAGGCGAUCAGAUACCGCCCUAGUUCUAACCAUAAACGAUGCCAGCCAGCGAUCCGGCUGUGUUCCUCAAAUGACACGCCGGGCAGCUUCCGGGAAACCAAAGCUUUUGGGUUCCGGGGGAAGUAUGGUUGCAAAGCUUAAACUUAAAGGAAUUGACGGAAGGGCACCACAAGCCAUGGAGCAUGCGGUUCAAUUUGACUCAACACGGGAAAACUUACCUGGCCCGGACACAGGAAGGAUUGACAGAUUAAGAGCUCUUUCUUGAUUCUGUGAGUGGUGGUGCAUGGCCGUUCUUAGUUGGUGGAGUGAUUUGUCUGCUUAAUUGCGUUAACGAACGAGACUCUAGCCUACUAAAUAGACGUUCCGAUCCUCUUAGUCGGACGCUCUUCUUAGGGGGACAGGCGGCGACUAGCCGCACGAGACAGAGCAAUAACAGGUCUGUGAUGCCCUCAGAUGUCCGGGGCCACACGCGCGCUACAUUGAAGGAAUCAGCGUGUGCUUUCCCUGUCCGACAGGACUGGGUAACCCGUUGAACCUCCUUCGUGCUGGGGAUAGGGAUUUGCAAUUGUCUCCCUUGAACGAGGAAUGCCUAGUAAGCACGAGUCAUAAAUUCGUGUUGAUUAGGUCCCUGCCCUUUGUACACACCGCCCGUCGCUAUAAGCGAUUGAAUGGUUUAGUGAGGUCUUCGGACUGGCGCUCGAAUUGGCCUUCCGGUCGAGUCGACGUGCCGGAAAGAUGACCAAACUUGAUCAUUUAGAGCAUAUAAAAGUCGU